UCGAUGGGGGGACGCAGUAGGAUAGGCGAAGCGUGCGAUUGGAUUGCACGUCUAAGCAGUAAGGCUGAGUAUUAGGCAAAUCCGGUACUCGUUAAGGCUGAGCUGUGAUGGGGAGAAGACAUUGUGUCUUCGAGUCGUUGAUUUCACACUGCCGAGAAAAGCCUCUAGAUAGAAAAUAGGUGCCCGUACCGCAAACCGACACAGGUAGUCAAGAUGAGAAUUCUAAGGUGAGCGAGCGAACUCUCGUUAAGGAACUCGGCAAAAUGACCCCGUAACUUCGGGAGAAGGGGUGCUCUUUAGGGUUAACGCCCAGAAGAGCCGCAGUGAAUAGGCCCAAGCGACUGUUUAUCAAAAACACAGGUCUCUGCUAAACCGUAAGGUGAUGUAUAGGGGCUGACGCCUGCCCGGUGCUGGAAGGUUAAGAGGAGUGGUUAGCUUCUGCGAAGCUACGAAUCGAAGCCCCAGUAAACGGCGGCCGUAACUAUAACGGUCCUAAGGUAGCGAAAUUCCUUGUCGGGUAAGUUCCGACCCGCACGAAAGGCGUAACGAUUUGGGCACUGUCUCAACGAGAGACUCGGUGAAAUCAUAGUACCUGUGAAGAUGCAGGUUACCCGCGACAGGACGGAAAGACCCCGUGGAGCUUUACUGUAGCCUGAUAUUGAAAUUCGGCACAGCUUGUACAGGAUAGGUAGGAGCCUUUGAAACGUGAGCGCUAGCUUACGUGGAGGCGCUGGUGGGAUACUACCCUAGCUGUGUUGGCUUUCUAACCCGCACCACUUAUCGUGGUGGGAGACAGUGUCAGGCGGGCAGUUUG
This 814-nucleotide ribosomal RNA is filed under the name Staphylococcus aureus. RNAcentral's name for it is "partial 23S ribosomal RNA". It matches the Rfam family "Bacterial large subunit ribosomal RNA", at positions 1461 to 2272 of the family's 2925-position model. Lineage: Bacteria; Bacillati; Bacillota; Bacilli; Caryophanales; Staphylococcaceae. The record is from RNAcentral.